UCAUGUCUACCUGUGCGAAUUUCAAACGCACAAUUUUACACCAGUACUUAAAACCCUCCAUCCUUUAUGGGUGCAUUUUACAUAGAUAAAUUAAAUCGUAUAAUAUAAACAAAAUGAGGAUGUUAAAUUUGAUGUAUGCCUUUUUGUGCUUCUUCGUUACAUUUGUUGUUUUUAUAGUGAUUUAGAGGAUAACACAAUGUUGACUGCUGUACCCCUAUUUUUUACCUUUUUACCAAUUGUGUCUGUUUGUUUUGUUCACGCAUCGGUGACAAUAUAAUGGAAUUUGAUGUGACUGUCAUACAAGUGAGAGGUUUAGCUAGCUAUAAAACCAGGUUCAAUCCACCAUUUUCUACAUUUGAAAAUGCCUG
This 368-nucleotide long non-coding RNA is filed under the name Mytilus galloprovincialis (Mediterranean mussel). The record is from RNAcentral. Lineage: Eukaryota; Metazoa; Mollusca; Bivalvia; Mytilida; Mytilidae.